CAAGAAUCAAGAUGGCGGCUGAGUCAAGAACUAGCAGGAAGUUGGGAUAAACAAAUACCCAAACUUGAUGUUCUACUUAAUUUNGAACAACUGCAACAAAUAAAUAUGGAUUCAUGGUCUCAAAUGGGUAAAAACGUGGACCUAAAAGAUUUGGAGGCACCCACGUCGUCAACUUGGUACCUUCAUCGGCCACACACGACGAAUAGGGAUAUCCGUAUCCUGUUAUUUGUUCUGGCAUACGAUCCGGCUUACUUACUUUGUUCAUGGUGAUAUCACUUUUUUGUUUUCC
This 289-nucleotide long non-coding RNA is filed under the name Actinia tenebrosa (Australian red waratah sea anemone). RNAcentral describes it as "uncharacterized LOC116307074, transcript variant X1". The record is from RNAcentral. Lineage: Eukaryota; Metazoa; Cnidaria; Anthozoa; Actiniaria; Actiniidae.